This is a small nucleolar RNA of Rhododendron vialii, 90 nucleotides long. RefSeq annotates it as small nucleolar RNA snR60/Z15/Z230/Z193/J17. NCBI's taxonomy places the organism in Eukaryota, Viridiplantae, Streptophyta, Magnoliopsida, Ericales, Ericaceae. The record is from RefSeq and is a predicted model, not a curated record. The transcript has a single exon.
CAGUGUCACCUGAUGAUUUUAAAGCAUACUUCAAAUGAUCAUAUAUAUGAUUAAUCAUUUGAAUCACUUUCGCCUUUUCUGAUGACACUG